UUACAGUUUUUUGAUCUGGAGCAUGAUUUCCAUGCGGUGCUUAUGGCCGUUGGGUCGAUUCUGUUGAUUGGCUUGGCUUCCGAGGUUCUGUUCGUGUGGAUUGUAAUGGCUUCGGCGGCUCUACCCCUGUUGGGGUCUUCCUGCUCAUGUGGGAGCUUGGCAUCAUCCUGGUUAGCGGUUGGGUCAGUUGGUAGGUCCCUUUGUGCUAGCACUGUCGAGUUUGUGUGUUCUUCAAGGUGUUUUUUGUGCUCACUCAAUCAUUUGGCCAGGAGUCUCGAAGUGUAUUCUAUGUAUUUGACUUGUUGAUUUAAGG
This 313-nucleotide long non-coding RNA is filed under the name Androctonus crassicauda. The record is from RNAcentral. Lineage: Eukaryota; Metazoa; Arthropoda; Arachnida; Scorpiones; Buthidae.